This 200-nucleotide unclassified non-coding RNA is filed under the name soil metagenome. RNAcentral's name for it is "partial contains internal transcribed spacer 2 and large subunit ribosomal RNA". The record is from RNAcentral.
AAUAAGCCGGCUCUUCUGAAAUGUAUUAGCAGAUCCUCUUUGUAAUUGGUUCCUACUCAACGUGAUAAGUAUUUCGUUGAGGACAUUUCCUUUAUUGGGAAUGGCCAAGAUAAGAAGAGUUCAUCAAGAUCCGCUUCUAAACACCACCUAAUUUUACAUGAUCUGGCCUCAAAUCAGGCGGGACUACCCGCUGAACUUAA